RNAcentral lists this ribosomal RNA (460 nucleotides) under uncultured Prevotella sp. Its description in RNAcentral is "bacterial SSU rRNA". It matches the Rfam family "Bacterial small subunit ribosomal RNA", at positions 338 to 795 of the family's 1533-position model. The record is from RNAcentral. Lineage: Bacteria; Pseudomonadati; Bacteroidota; Bacteroidia; Bacteroidales; Prevotellaceae.
CCUACGGGUGGCAGCAGUGAGGAAUAUUGGUCAAUGGGCGGAAGCCUGAACCAGCCAAGUAGCGUGCAGGACGACGGCCCUAUGGGUUGUAAACUGCUUUUAUGCGGGGAUAAAGUGAGGGACGUGUCCCUUUUUGCAGGUACCGCAUGAAUAAGGACCGGCUAAUUCCGUGCCAGCAGCCGCGGUAAUACGGAAGGUCCGGGCGUUAUCCGGAUUUAUUGGGUUUAAAGGGAGCGUAGGCCGGGGAUUAAGUGUGUUGUGAAAUGUAGGCGCCCAACGUCUGACUUGCAGCGCAUACUGGUUCCCUUGAGUACGCGCAACGCCGGCGGAAUUCGUCGUGUAGCGGUGAAAUGCUUAGAUAUGACGAAGAACCCCGAUUGCGAAGGCAGCCGGCGGGAGCGCAACUGACGCUGAAGCUCGAAGGUGCGGGUAUCGAACAGGAUUAGAUACCCGGGUAGUC